Carassius auratus (goldfish) is the source of this 5058-nucleotide RNA transcript. It is a transcript of the gene named regulation of nuclear pre-mRNA domain-containing protein 2-like, with no coding region annotated. NCBI's taxonomy places the organism in Eukaryota, Metazoa, Chordata, Actinopteri, Cypriniformes, Cyprinidae. The record is from RefSeq and is a predicted model, not a curated record. The transcript is spliced from 14 exons.
UACAGCAAUAUGAAAUACUUAUAUUUAUACACGUUUCAUCGUGAUUUCACCAGUUUCUACCGCAUAUGUUGUGUUGUAUAACACGUUCUCCUUGUCACUGUAAUUUCAGACCAGAGAAAGUAAAAAAUAAGUAUACGACCUUCAACUGUACAUGUCUAAUUGUUAUGGUAAUGUUGGGAUUCAUGAUCAGAGUCCCAUGAUGUUGCAGUGUCCACAGAGGAACCUGUGAGCGGCAGCACCGCGACCCGAGGACCUGAAAGAUGGCGGCUGGAAGUGCAGGCGUUAGCGGCCACAACAAUGGUUCAUCGCCGCGCUUGGAGUCCACUUUGGACCGUCGCUUUCAGACUGUAUCCAACACCAUGGAAUCCAUCCAGGGCCUAUCCGUCUAUUGCAUCGAGAACAAGAAAUAUCACAGCUUGGUCGUGCGAUACUGGAUGAGGUGGCUGCGCAAAUCGGAUGCGCCACACAGGCUUAAUCUCUUCUAUCUGGCGAAUGAUGUCAUUCAGAACUGUAAAAGGAAAAAUGCCAUAGUCUACCGCACCACAUUCACAGAUGUGCUGCCAGAAGCUAUUAAGCUCAUCAGUGCAACAAAGGAUUCUAAGGUGAACAAGGCAGUGGUGAGGAUACUGUCCAUUUGGGAAGAGAGAAAUGUCUAUUCAGAGGAGUUCAUCAGUCAGCUUAGGAACAAUUUGGUUCGGAAAGAAGAACCAGUGAAAGCUCCAGUUAGCUCCAAAUCUGCCCUGAAAUCCAAGAUUGUUGCUGAGUUUGUGCCCACUGCGUUUAUCGAGCAUCUGUCCAAGUACAGGACGUCCAUGGAUGAAAUUGAGCUCAAAGAGAAACAGUUAGCAGCAAUGAGAGUGGAUGUGUGCAGCACAGAGGCUCUUAAGAAACUGAAAGACAAGGCAGGAGGUAAAAGGUUUUCUAAAGACUUUGAAGACGGGAGUACAAAGCUUCAGGAGUUUGUUUCCUUUCUGGAUGGAGAGGUCAAAAAAGGCCCCCCAUUAAUGGAAGCUCUGGAGAAUGCAGACAUAUUCUAUGAGAUGCAAUAUAAAGAGGUCAAGAUUGUGGCUAAAGCUUACGAGACAUUUGCAAACCGGGUGUCACACCUUAAGCGCAAGCUCGAUUCACUGAAGUCUAGAUUGCCUGAUCCAGAUGACUCCCCCACACCAUCCCCCAUCCCCUCCCCCAUUGAAGAUGCUCCUUCGCCCACUGGUUCAGAGUCGCCCUUCCAAGCUCUGGAAAGGAUUGGUACCCCAGACCCAGAGCUGGAUGGUCAGGCGAUGGAGGAGGACUUGAUUGCUUUGGCUGAUGCUCCCAGCCCUCUCUCAUCUGUCGGGGGCUCCUCCCCACCAAGUGCUCCUUUGGGAGACAAAGACAAUCGUGAUGUAGAAGACAUGGACCUCUCGGAUGUAGAGGAGACAGAAACGCCUACCAUCAUAGUUGAGGAACGUGUGGCCUCGGCUGUUGCGUCCAAACAGUCUUCUGUCACUCCAAAUGUCACAGAAUCCUUGCCAACAACUGAAUGUACUCAAACAAAGCAGAUCGACACCCCAGCAGUGACAGUUCCCUCAGCAGUAACAACAACUACAACAACAACCACCACCACACCAACUACACCGUCACUGCCAGUGAACCUUGCUGGUGUUGAUCUAGGCAAAAUCAGCUCCAUUCUCAGCACAAUCACAAACGUUAUGAAGAGCUCAGCUGUAGGAGUUAGUCCUGUAUCUCGGCCAUCCCCGAGUGUACCUUCUACUCCAAGCUCAACUCAAAAGACUCCCACUACUGCCCCUCUGGCUAACCCACUGGCCAGCAUCCUUUCUAGGGUGGACAUCAACCCCAACACUUUGCUCAGUGCACUGUCUAAAACACAAACCCAUGGGGGUUUUCAGGGUCUGUCCUCUUUGCUAAACAACCCGACUGCAAAGACCACCACAUCUUCGAAUUCUGAAAAGCAAUCCCUGACAUCGCCUCUUACAGCAGAGACUCAAGAAUCUCCUAAAGUCUUACUUGCUCCUUCUAGUCUCCCACUGGCUAGGAAUCCCUCUACUCAAGGAUGUGUGGCUCCUACGCCUAUGCAGUCCAAUAUGGAGAAUGAGAAAAUAACUCCUAGCUCUUCUCUCAACUCUACCUUUGACUCCAAGUUGGAUAACUUUCUCCAAGAUAACCCAGGGCUGAAAGGCUUUAAUUUGGGAUUUCCAUCUGUUCUGUUGUGGCCUAAAGGAACUGUUGAUAGCCCUUCAGCAAGUGCAGAAAACCUUGGUGGAACCCCUGUAAGGGAUGAAGCUGGUGCUACACCGACACAAGAUGAAAUUAUGGAUGCUCCUCCAUCAGAGCUGUUCUCGUAUCAGCAGGGGCAAACGGUGUCUAUGACCACCACUUUAGAUGCUAAAUCAAUGCGUCCACUUCCAUCUUGGCAGGAACAAAAUGCUCACACCGAUCCUCAAGCUCACACAGACCUGCACCAGAAGAUCGCACCAAAAAAAGACUAUGUGCCCUCUCUUGCCGAGGCAGAAGCUAAGCGCAUUCAACGCAUUGAAGCAAUGCGUUCCUCUUCUAUGUCCAGCAACCAGCAACCUUUGAGAGAUACCGAGAAAUCCAGUGUAAUGCUUCAAGAGCUGAGACAAAACUCCUUGACUCAUGAUGUGGGACCAAAUUCUAAAAUGGUGGAAGGUAGCUACGCAUAUCGAGAUGAUCAAGAGAAGCAAGUAUUGGCCAGCUCUGACGCAUAUGGUGCAGAGCGUUAUGUUGCCAAAGAACCAAGACAGGAUCUUGCAGCGCCUAACUUCUUCACCACACCUCUGCCACCUAUCCCAAAGCUUCCUCCUCCACCACAAGAUUUCAUGCAUACAGCAUCUUCUUCAAGAGCAAGUGGUCCUCAUGCCACUGAAGAUUUGCAGGAACCUUUCAGGGAAGCAGAACGAGGUGGUGUUGAUGGCUCCUAUGUCCCAGCAAACUCUGAUUAUGAACACAUGUCUCAUGAGGUUUCAAACAAGGAGCCUUUCCAUCCACAUGGGGAUGUGAUUUCUCACUCUGCUAAUGCACCGCACCUUGUUACUAAAAUCCCACUGAAUGGGCCAGUGGACUACAACCACCAACAUCCACCAAGAGUACCUCUGCAGCACCCUCCAAGUAUACCCCAUCACCACAUUGGGUCUUCUCCUCCAGUACGGGGUUACCAUGAAUCUUCAAGUCCUCCUCGACCUUUGCCUGAAGAUCCAUACUUUGACCAAUUCUACGAACAGCCACCACGUAGCCCCUCUCCCCCUCAUUACGAAAUGCACCUGAUUUCGCCUCAUGCACAAGAGUAUUAUCCUGAAGAAUUACCACCUCACUACCCAGAACGCAGGGUUCCUCCUCACCUGGAGCACAGGCUUCCACCACCACGCCAUAUUCUUCCAUCUCACCCUGGGCAUUAUCCAGCUCCAAGGCCCCUUCGCAGGCCACCACCGGUCCAUCAUGAGCUGCCCUUUCCAAGAGGCAAGCGACCUGGCCCACCUUUUGGUGGACCUUCCAGAGUCAGGGGCCCCUUUUAUCCCCCUAAAAGACCUUUCUUGCCUCGACAUUACUGAAGUGUGUCUUGUGAUACUUAAGCUCAGGUGUUUAGUGCAUGUCACAGUGAGCAAGUAAAGAAGUCCAAAGUGCUGUUGGGUUAUCAUCAAGACAAAGAUUGCUGUGGAUAUUGACACGAAGGAGAUGGUCCUGAACACCUUCACAAGAUCACAAUAGAAAAGUGCAGAUUUAUUCAAGUAACCAAGGGGUUUGAAUCAGACCAACAAAAACUUUUGAGCAAGAUCUGUUUCUCUGAUCUUUUCCAACACCAAGACAUGUAAAGUGUGAGCAGUUGUGCUGCAAGGUGAAGUCAAGAAGCACUGGAGCAGAGAAAUGGAAAGAAUAUCUGGCAACGAAUGCUGGGGGAAUGAGAUGGAAUCUGAAGGCAAACAAAACAAGAGAUCUUCUGGUGAGGACUUUGUCUGCCCAGCAACAGAGUCCUUGAGGGGACAUCCAAUGCCCUUGUAUCCUGUCUGCUUGCAAAUCAAGCGCCCAAUGGUUUUGCGGCUACACUGUGUGAGAGGAAAAUAUAAACGUUCCCUUAAAGCGAGUAAACGUCACGGUUUCCACACCCCGAGGGAGGACAGGAGAUGGACAGGAGGGGGACACCGGCUUUCGACGUCAAAAGCUACGGGUUAUACGGAGUGUCAACACCGUGAAUAUUGGCUACAGCAUUACAGUGCAUCUUCUUCACAGCCUCUGCUUUAAAACAGCUGUCACGGUUCAAACCUUUCCACCGGGACUCGUGUUUAACAUCGCGACUCUUCCCCCGCCGCUGAGCCGCUCUCCAGUGCUGAAACUCCGGGCGCAGCUGUCGCUCCGUCCUCUUAGGAAACUGUCCUAAUGAAGGAAGCCGACGCCAUCAAGCUCUUCAUUGGCCAGAUCCCACGGAAUCUGGAGGAGAAGGACCUGAAGCCCAUCUUUGAGCAGUUUGGGAAGAUCUAUGAGCUUACGGUGAUCAAGGACAAGUACACGGGAAUGCACAAAGGAUGUGCGUUCUUGACGUACUGUGCGAGGGAGUCAGCAUUGAAGGCCCAGAAUGCACUGCAUGAGCAGAAGACAUUGCCAGGGGUGAGUUGUCAGUGUUAAUAAUGUGAACGGGCUGUAUAAAAAAAUAGAUUUAUUUAAGUCAAACAAACACUUCCAGUUGCCUAUAUAUAGCAGACUACAUAUAGCAUAAAUCUUUUAUCAUUAAGCUCUUCUAACAGGGCUGAGGAACAUGAAGUCAUUUCUAAAAAUGGAAACAACACAUUAUAUGGUUCAGGAGAUGGGAUCUGUGGAAAUCUAUGUUGACUGAACAGACUUUAAUUAGGUAUGUAGGAGGGCUCAAUCCUUGAAGGCAUCUGCGAUCGUGUCGCUGUCUGGAGUCGUUGAUUAGCUGUUAGGCCAUCUGCCAUGACAGGCAACAUGUAAAUUCACAAACCUCCAGUCUCUUCAUAUUUUUUUAUGUUGUUUUAUGUGCUAAUUACCUACUUUUUCAGAUUUGACAGAUGUACUGGAACAUUAUGA